This 491-nucleotide ribosomal RNA is filed under the name uncultured bacterium. RNAcentral's name for it is "partial 16S ribosomal RNA". It matches the Rfam family "Bacterial small subunit ribosomal RNA", at positions 28 to 507 of the family's 1533-position model. The record is from RNAcentral.
GAUGAACGCUAGCUACAGGCUUAACACAUGCAAGUCGAGGGAAAACGACAUUGAAGCUUGCUUCGAUGGUCGUCGACCGGCGCACGGGUGAGUAACGCGUAUCCAACCUGCCUCUGACCAAGGGAUAACCCGUCGAAAGUCGGCCUACUACCUUAUGCAGUCGUCGGAAGUCAUCUGAUGACGACGAAAGAUUUCAUCGGUGAGAGAUGGGGAUGCGUCUGAUUAGCUUGUUGGCGGGGUAACGGCCCACCAAGGCAACGAUCAGUAGGGGUUCUGAGAGGAAGGUCCCCCACAUUGGAACUGCGGCACGGUCCAAACUCCGACGGGAGGCAGCAGUGAGGAAUAUUGGUCAAUGGGCGAGGGCCUGAACCAGCCAAGUAGCGUGCAGGAUGACGGCCCUAUGGGUUGUAAACUGCUUUUAUGCGGGGAUAAAGUGAGGGACGUGUCCUUCAUUGCAGGUACCGCAUGAAUAAGGACCGGCUAAUUCCGUG